CUCUUUCGCUACGGAGCUCCUAUGCGAAAAUUCACGGCUGCUUUUAUGGUAAGCCUGAUAGGGUUGAUUGCGUUGUCCGUGUCGACCACGGCUGUCGCAUGUGACGGCACUUCCGGUUCCGGCUAUUCGAGCCCAAAGUGACCGCCUCGCCCGAAUGCGCCGAGCGCGCAACAAAAAAGGCCUUCAUCCGACGAUGAAGGCCUUUUACU
Non-coding RNA from Burkholderia sp., 209 nucleotides. NCBI's taxonomy places the organism in Bacteria, Pseudomonadati, Pseudomonadota, Betaproteobacteria, Burkholderiales, Burkholderiaceae. The record is from Rfam.